CCCCCAGGCUUUUGCAUUUGCUGUUCCUUCUACCUGGAAGAAACGCUCUCCCAUCUGCUCUGUGCACGGCUGGUUCCUCUCAAAUAUCGCAUCUUCAAAGAAGGACCACUCACAAGUGACCUCAUCCAAAAGAGCCUCCCUUCUCCCAGCUAUUCCAGAGAUCGGAAGAGCA
Molecule: long non-coding RNA, 172 nt
Organism: Leopardus geoffroyi (Geoffroy's cat)
Lineage: Eukaryota; Metazoa; Chordata; Mammalia; Carnivora; Felidae
Exons: 3
Source: RefSeq, a predicted model, not a curated record